This 499-nucleotide ribosomal RNA is filed under the name Priestia megaterium. RNAcentral describes it as "bacterial SSU rRNA". It matches the Rfam family "Bacterial small subunit ribosomal RNA", at positions 1 to 484 of the family's 1533-position model. Lineage: Bacteria; Bacillati; Bacillota; Bacilli; Caryophanales; Bacillaceae. The record is from RNAcentral.
UCGGAGAGUUUGAUCCUGGCUCAGGAUGAACGCUGGCGGCGUGCCUAAUACAUGCAAGUCGAGCGAACUGAUUAGAAGCUUGCUUCUAUGACGUUAGCGGCGGACGGGUGAGUAACACGUGGGCAACCUGCCUGUAAGACUGGGAUAACUUCGGGAAACCGAAGCUAAUACCGGAUAGGAUCUUCUCCUUCAUGGGAGAUGAUUGAAAGAUGGUUUCGGCUAUCACUUACAGAUGGGCCCGCGGUGCAUUAGCUAGUUGGUGAGGUAACGGCUCACCAAGGCAACGAUGCAUAGCCGACCUGAGAGGGUGAUCGGCCACACUGGGACUGAGACACGGCCCAGACUCCUACGGGAGGCAGCAGUAGGGAAUCUUCCGCAAUGGACGAAAGUCUGACGGAGCAACGCCGCGUGAGUGAUGAAGGCUUUCGGGUCGUAAAACUCUGUUGUUAGGGAAGAACAAGUACAAGAGUAACUGCUUGUACCUUGACGGUACCUAACC